CGCUGAGUUUGAUCCUGGCUCAGGAUGAACGCUAGCGGCAGGCUUAACACAUGCAAGUCGAGGGGUAUUGGUUUUCGGACCAAGAGACCGGCGCACGGGUGCGUAACGCGUAUGCAAUCUACCUUUUACAGAGGGAUAGCCCAGAGAAAUUUGGAUUAAUACCUCAUAGUAUGUGAGAAUCGCAUGGUUUUCACAUUAAAGUCACAACGGUAAAAGAUGAGCAUGCGUCCCAUUAGCUAGAUGGUAAGGUAACGGCUUACCAUGGCGACGAUGGGUAGGGGUCCUGAGAGGGAGAUCCCCCACACUGGUACUGAGACACGGACCAGACUCCUAUGGGAGCAGCAGUGAGGAAUUUUGGACAAUGGACGCAAGCCUGAUCCCAG
RNAcentral lists this ribosomal RNA (383 nucleotides) under uncultured Flavobacterium sp. RNAcentral's name for it is "bacterial SSU rRNA". It matches the Rfam family "Bacterial small subunit ribosomal RNA", at positions 1 to 391 of the family's 1533-position model. Lineage: Bacteria; Pseudomonadati; Bacteroidota; Flavobacteriia; Flavobacteriales; Flavobacteriaceae. The record is from RNAcentral.